Molecule: long non-coding RNA, 967 nt
Filed under: Piliocolobus tephrosceles (Ugandan red Colobus)
Lineage: Eukaryota; Metazoa; Chordata; Mammalia; Primates; Cercopithecidae
Description: lncRNA (ENSPTEG00000011544.1)
Source: RNAcentral
ACUUGAACACGUAAAAAUUUUGCGAAUGCACAUAUACUCAUACAUAAAUAAUACAACAAUAAUACAUAAAUAAUACAACAAUAAUANNNNNNNNNNAUAAUACAACAAUAAUACAUAAAUAAUACAACAAUAAUACAUAAAUACACGCAAACAAAAAAAAAAAAUGCAUAAACAGAUUACAGCGUAUUAUUUCAAAACAUCUCAUUUCAAUUAUACAUAUACAUAUAUACAUAUAUUUUUUUUAUGGUAAUUUUAGCGAAUUAAGCAAUGUAAAUCAAUCAGAAGAAUUAAUCAGACUUCAAAAAGAAAAUGAAAAAUUAAGAAAUAAAAUAGAAUCUGAUACAAAUAAAGAAUCAAAGAGAGUGAAAGAACUUGAAAAAGAACUCAAGGAUUUGAAAGAAAUAAAUAACAAUUUAAAGAAUGAAGUAUUAAAAGACACAAAUAAUAACAACGCUCAAACUAAUCCACAACAGGAGAAAUAUGAAGCACAAAAUGAAAAAAUCAUCAAAUUAGAAGCUGAGCUAUUAAUUGAAAAAAAAAAUAGUACAAUUAUUGAAGAAACGACUAAAAAUAAAUUAACAAAGGAAUUUAAUGCUGCAUUGCAAAUUUUUAAAGAACAAUUACAAAUUAGGGAAAAGGAAACUGAAUAUUACAAAGAAACAAUGAAAACACAGAUAGAUACUUUUAAAGACGAACAAAAAUUAUUAAGCGAUAUUAUUCACAACUUAGGCCUAAAAUAUAAACAAUUACAAACUUAUAAUCUUUGUUUAAAGAAUGAAAUUACAGGAAUUAAAUUAAGAACCAAAGCUUGUACAAAUUCCGACAACAAAUAAAAUCCCCGUUUUAUACAUAUAUAAUACUCCUUACAAUUAUUUUUUUUCUGUUUUUAAAUUAUUUUAAUUUUUUAAUAAGUCAAAACAUCAACAAAAUAACAUCAUGAAUAAAGUAAAUACUUCAUAUUUGUACA